Populus euphratica (Euphrates poplar) is the source of this 1426-nucleotide long non-coding RNA. RefSeq lists it as uncharacterized. Lineage: Eukaryota; Viridiplantae; Streptophyta; Magnoliopsida; Malpighiales; Salicaceae. The record is from RefSeq and is a predicted model, not a curated record. The transcript has 2 exons.
AUAAAUGGUGGAAUGAGAAGCUCUGCGUCAACAUUUCAGCCAGUGGAGAGAAUUUUAUCAUGGAAUAUAUGUUUUGUUGUUUCUUGGAAAAGAAGGCCACGGAACACUAAGCAUCUCAGACAAUUCCCAAAUUCUUGUGCAUUCUAAACAAGCAGCAAAAGUAGCUUUUAAUAGUAUGGGCUUGAACCCAAGGGAACUUAGAGGACACUAACUUUGAAAACCAUUUUCUUGAUCUUAAGCAUCAGCUGCUUGCGUCAAAAAGAUUUUGACAGCAUAACAGAUUAAUGGAAAGAACAAUUCUAACACAGGGAAAUAACAUUAACAAUGAGAGAAACCAAUAGCAAAACAAAUAUUACUAGGGCAAUCUUAUCAAAAUAAGAGGACAUGCAUUUGAAUUUGUGGAGCAGAAAUAGCACAGGAAUAGAAUCUUACAAGUAAAUAGCUGACUCUAAAACCUUCGUAAGUAAAAGCCACAUACAAAGAAGAAAAAAAGUGCUUCAUUUUGAUGGAAACAUACAACUUUUGGGAGAGGAUUUUUAUUGGCUAAACCUAAAAGAUGCGCCUCCUAUGAUAAGAAACAAUUUGUUCUGGAAUUCUGAGACUUCUUACUCCAGCUUUCUUGGGACUGCCUAAUUAUAAUUUUCUAGGAGAUGGUUAAGAAAUCAUGAAGAUUGUAAGGGAAGGCUUGAAAAACAAAAGAUUCAGCGAUCAAGGAAAACAUAAGCUGGUUAUUGUAAAAGGAAAAUCAUGAAAACAAUCUUGCAAAGGCAAAUUCACCAACAGCCCAUUUGGAAACAUUAGAUUUAGGGUAGAAAUUAAAUGAAAUCAAUGCAAUACCAUUUACCUGUUACAGGGUUUCGGAAAGUCCUGAGCAAUAGAAAUGAAUUCUACAUCCCAUUAAAACCAUAUAUUUCCAUACGGCUCUAAAUCUCACCAAGUGGGGUGCGAUUUGGGUUGAAAUGAAAUCAAUUCAAUUCAAUUUAUGUGAGAAUUGAAAUCAAAAUCAUAAGCAUUAAUGAAUGUGAUUUACCAGCAAGUCUUCCUUUUAUUCUUUUUAGGAAAGUUCUUCAAUCAAGAUCCAUAAACCACGCUAUAUUACAGUGAAUUAAUUGGCCAUAAAUAAUCUUAGCUAAAUUCAAAAAUAAUAAAAAGUGGGUUGUCUUAGAUCAAGUCAGAUAAGCAAUCUAGUUAAGGUAAUUUCAGUAACUAAACUAGAGACCAAGCUAAGAGUUCUAAUAAGAUGACAGACACCAUUAGCAGCAAAAUCAGUGAAAGAACAUACAUAAGUCCUAGAUAGAGCAAUCGACCCUACAUGUGCUAGUAACAAAUGCUGCAACCCAAUUACCCAGUAUCCAGAUUAAUUAAUAUAACCACCAAGACUAAUUAACAGCUAAUCAGAUCUCGCAAAAAUUUGGCAAGAUCAAGU